AGGUGGACGGGAAAGGCCUCCCAUUAUUGCUAUACCAUAGAGAAGUUACUCUGCUGCCAGCUAGCCUGUUUUUGUUAUGUUGGAUGUGGUAUGAGGAGACAAACCUGGGUUGUGCUUCUACAGAAAACCAUUUUAGAAAGAAAAUCCCAAGAGGAGGAGAUUGUGGAUUAAUGCUGCUAGACCUAGCUGUCCCUGGGGAAUGACCAAAACAAUGGCAGCUAUCAGAGUUCCCAUGUGUUUGAGAGAAGAUUUCAUCAAUGCCUCGAAUCCCUCCUUCUCCGAUGGUAUCCACACCAUCUUCUUGGCCGACCAGUCUGCCUGCGCCACCCCGCUGUUACGGAAAUCCUUCUCCAGGAAGAGGUACUUGUCUUCCUCAGCCAUGUUUGAGGUAUCACCGUCAGCGGCGGUUGAAUCGACCUGAGGAGCGCUGUCAGCGUCUGAGUCGACCUCUGGUACCUCAGGGGUGAUGGAGCUGUCGUUGUGGCCGUCAGCGGGGAUUGGGAUUGGGUCUGCGUCUGGGGGACUGAUGGGAGUUGGGUUGACCUCUGACCUCUGGUCUUCCUCUGGCCUGCAGACAAAACAGACAACAAAUUCAGACACCCAAUAUGAACUAUAACACAAUGCUUUAUUAAAACACAUGAAUAAAACAAUAUGUCCUGUAUCAA
Long non-coding RNA from Notolabrus celidotus (New Zealand spotty), 665 nucleotides. RefSeq lists it as uncharacterized. The transcript is spliced from 2 exons. The record is from RefSeq and is a predicted model, not a curated record. Lineage: Eukaryota; Metazoa; Chordata; Actinopteri; Labriformes; Labridae.